RNAcentral lists this ribosomal RNA (224 nucleotides) under uncultured bacterium. RNAcentral's name for it is "partial 16S ribosomal RNA". It matches the Rfam family "Bacterial small subunit ribosomal RNA", at positions 15 to 236 of the family's 1533-position model. The record is from RNAcentral.
GAUCAUGGCUCAGGACGAACGCUGGNGGCACGCUUAACACAUGCAAGUCGAACGAGAGAAGAGAAGCUUGCUUUUCUGAUCUAGUGGCGGACGGGUGAGUAACACGUGAGCAAUCUGCCUUUCAGAGGGGGAUACCGAUUGGAAACGAUCGUUAAUACCGCAUAAUAUAAUUGAACCGCAUGAUUUGAUUAUCAAAGAUUUAUCGCUGAAAGAUGAGCUCGCGU